This 694-nucleotide ribosomal RNA is filed under the name uncultured bacterium. RNAcentral describes it as "bacterial SSU rRNA". It matches the Rfam family "Bacterial small subunit ribosomal RNA", at positions 111 to 823 of the family's 1533-position model. The record is from RNAcentral.
UAACGCGUGGGUAACCUGCCUCAUACAGGGGGAUAACAGUUAGAAAUGACUGCUAAUACCGCAUAAGACCACGGUACCGCAUGGUACAGUGGGAAAAACUCCGGUGGUAUGGGAUGGACCCGCGUCUGAUUAGCUAGUUGGUAAGGUAACGGCUUACCAAGGCGACGAUCAGUAGCCGACCUGAGAGGGUGACCGGCCACAUUGGGACUGAGACACGGCCCAAACUCCUACGGGAGGCAGCAGUGGGGAAUAUUGCACAAUGGGGGAAACCCUGAUGCAGCGACGCCGCGUGAAGGAUGAAGUAUUUCGGUAUGUAAACUUCUAUCAGCAGGGAAGAAAAUGACGGUACCUGACUAAGAAGCCCCGGCUAACUACGUGCCAGCAGCCGCGGUAAUACGUAGGGGGCAAGCGUUAUCCGGAUUUACUGGGUGUAAAGGGAGCGUAGACGGUUAUGUAAGUCUGAUGUGAAAACCCGGGGCUCAACCCCGGGACUGCAUUGGAAACUAUGUAACUAGAGUGUCGGAGAGGUAAGUGGAAUUCCUAGUGUAGCGGUGAAAUGCGUAGAUAUUAGGAGGAACACCAGUGGCGAAGGCGGCUUACUGGACGAUGACUGACGUUGAGGCUCGAAAGCGUGGGGAGCAAACAGGAUUAGAUACCCUGGUAGUCCACGCCGUAAACGAUGCAUACUAGGUGU